This 518-nucleotide ribosomal RNA is filed under the name Vibrio vulnificus. Its description in RNAcentral is "bacterial SSU rRNA". It matches the Rfam family "Bacterial small subunit ribosomal RNA", at positions 1 to 507 of the family's 1533-position model. The record is from RNAcentral. Lineage: Bacteria; Pseudomonadati; Pseudomonadota; Gammaproteobacteria; Vibrionales; Vibrionaceae.
UUAAUUGAAGAGUUUGAUCAUGGCUCAGAUUGAACGCUGGCGGCAGGCCUAACACAUGCAAGUCGAGCGGCAGCACAGAGAAACUUGUUUCUCGGGUGGCGAGCGGCGGACGGGUGAGUAAUGCCUGGGAAAUUGCCCUGAUGUGGGGGAUAACCAUUGGAAACGAUGGCUAAUACCGCAUGAUAGCUUCGGCUCAAAGAGGGGGACCUUCGGGCCUCUCGCGUCAGGAUAUGCCCAGGUGGGAUUAGCUAGUUGGUGAGGUAAGGGCUCACCAAGGCGACGAUCCCUAGCUGGUCUGAGAGGAUGAUCAGCCACACUGGAACUGAGACACGGUCCAGACUCCUACGGGAGGCAGCAGUGGGGAAUAUUGCACAAUGGGCGCAAGCCUGAUGCAGCCAUGCCGCGUGUGUGAAGAAGGCCUUCGGGUUGUAAAGCACUUUCAGUCGUGAGGAAGGUGGUAGUGUUAAUAGCACUAUCAUUUGACGUUAGCGACAGAAGAAGCACCGGCUAACUCCGUG